RNAcentral lists this ribosomal RNA (253 nucleotides) under uncultured bacterium. RNAcentral describes it as "partial 16S ribosomal RNA". It matches the Rfam family "Bacterial small subunit ribosomal RNA", at positions 524 to 776 of the family's 1533-position model. The record is from RNAcentral.
UACAGAGGUGGCAAGCGUUGUUCGGAAUUACUGGGCGUAAAGGGCGCGUAGGCGGUCUUGUAAGUUCUGUGUGAAAUCCCUCGGCUCAACUGAGGAACUGCACGGAAAACUGCGAGGCUUGAGUUCGGGAGAGGGAAGCGGAAUUCCGGGUGUAGUGGUGAAAUGCGUAGAUAUCCGCAAGAACACCAGUGGCGAAGGCGGCUCACUGGCCCGGUACUGACGCUGAGGUGCGAAAGCGUGGGGAGCAAACAGG